RNAcentral lists this ribosomal RNA (468 nucleotides) under uncultured bacterium. RNAcentral's name for it is "partial 16S ribosomal RNA". It matches the Rfam family "Bacterial small subunit ribosomal RNA", at positions 28 to 507 of the family's 1533-position model. The record is from RNAcentral.
GACGAACGCUGGCGGCGUGCUUAACACAUGCAAGUCGAACGGAAAGGCCCUGCUUUUGUGGGGUGCUCGAGUGGCGAACGGGUGAGUAACACGUGAGUAACCUGCCAUUGACUUUGGGAUAACUUCAGGAAACUGGGGCUAAUACCGGAUAGGAGCUCCUGCUGCAUGGUGGGGGUUGGAAAGUUUCGGCGGUUGGGGGUGGACUCGCGGCUUAUCAGCUUGUUGGUGGGGUAGUGGCUUACCAAGGCUUUGACGGGUAGCCGGCCUGAGAGGGUGACCGGCCACAUUGGGACUGAGAUACGGCCCAGACUCCUACGGGAGGCAGCAGUGGGGAAUAUUGCACAAUGGGCGGAAGCCUGAUGCAGCAACGCCGCGUGCGGGAUGACGGCCUUCGGGUUGUAAACCGCUUUCGCCUGUGACGAAGCGUGAGUGACGGUAAUGGGUAAAGAAGCACCGGCUAACUACGUG